This is a non-coding RNA of Lolium perenne, 3691 nucleotides long. The record is from RefSeq and is a predicted model, not a curated record. NCBI's taxonomy places the organism in Eukaryota, Viridiplantae, Streptophyta, Magnoliopsida, Poales, Poaceae.
GGUCUCAAUGACGUGGUUGUUCUAAACAUGUUCAUUUCCACCUUCUGCAAGUUAAUGUGAAUGAUGUGGGAUUGCUCCUAUGCUUGCUAGGGAGGAAAAGGAUAUGAGGUUUUGCCUACAAACAAGGAAAGGUAUAACUGAUAGGUAUGGCUUAAGUUUCUUGAAUGUUGUCUUGCUAGCCAUUAAAUUUUUGAAUUGCGCACUUGACAUGUUGAACUUGUUUCCCCAGAAUUGGUAUAUGGUUUUGCUGUUUUUCUGGGUGUUCGUGUCCAGAAGUUUCAUGUUGAUUUAUUUUAGGUAAAAAAAUAGGAUUUUGUUCGUAUGAUUCAGGAUAGUUUGAGGGUUCAAUACAUAUGAUAAUGAAUUUUAAAAUGAUACAAUUAGGCUUAAGCUGGGGCAUGAAUAUCAGCUUUACCACUUAAUCUCUGCUAGGGAUAAUUACCACUACUAAAAUCAUUUGAAGGUUCUUUAUUAGGACUUCCUAACCAGUUUGGUGUUAACGUUAUAUGAGUUGGCGCUCACAAACUGAUAGUUUUCCAGCUAUAGUUUUUCGAUGUAUUCAUCCUCUUCUUUUUCCAAGUUUGAGGUGUUACUUCCCCAAGAUUCUGUGCCAUUUGAGACUUUCUGAAUGUGUGUGGUUCUAUUAGGAAAUGCCUACAUUGAUGAAUUUUUACAAUUCACAAACAGUUUGGAAUGAUUCAAUUAUUUCGAAGUGUCACUGGACAAGACUUGCAAAUAAGCUGGGGAGAAUUGCUUAGCCUUAGGUUUUAGAUUUUUGGAUGAACCACCCACAGAAUAUAAGUCAGUUGGAAGGAUGAUAAAACAAUAAGGCCUUGUCCCUUGCUAUUACUUAGCGUAGGCCAGCACAUUACUUAACUACGAAAACCAGCGAUUGCAGUAAAUUAAAGCACAAGAUUUUGUCCCUUGCCAAGAACCAACUAAUACUCUCUGUAUAAUGAUUUUUCCCAGUUAAUAUUAUUUUUGAGUAACACUUGCAAAGCUUCCUAGGUUGGGAUAGUGCUACAUAGCCAGGGAAAGUUCUCUUUAAUUCUGUUCUGCGUGUUAGAGGUUAAUUACUUUCUGUAGAUGUAAAGGUUAUUAUGUGCUCUCCUCCUCGUGCACCAUUGUUCUCUCUUCCUGCGUGCCUCGACAGCGUGAUAGACGGUGCAAUCAGUUUACCAGAACUUAUUUGUGCAUCAUUUCCAAUCUGCUUGGAUCAAGAACCUAAAUUGGUUAUUUGAUGAUUUUGUGAUGCUUUCUAAUUGUUCGACCUACAAGCCAGUUGAGCUGGAAGCUCUCGGUGGUGGCUGCAAAUUGUUCUACAUAUAAAUAAAUAUUCGCAUACCAGAAUAUUAUGUUUAUACCUAAAGACAAUGAUUAAUUUAGCAAAGAAGAUGUUUGUUUUUCAUCUGCUCCGCCUACCAUUUAAAUUUCCUUUCUCUGAUUAUAAGCGAUAUGCGUAUAUACUGCUCUAUUAGUCUAUUCUACUGCAAUAUAUUUAAUGGCUGACUACUCUAUUUACUCUUUAUGCCAGUUUUUUUCGUUCAUGUCAAUGGCCUGGCCAUUACUAUAAGGUCCACAUUGUAUUGAUUUUCUCUUCAUGUUUUAUUCAAAGUCGAGAUCGGUGAAUUGUAGCAUUGCACAUAUGUUUACCAAAUCUUGGCAUACCAAAGCUUGAAUUUGCAUGGUAUGCACUCGAACUGUGUUUGGUCCUUUAGGACAAAGCAUAUGAUGGGUAAGGUUAUAUAUAAGAAAUUGAUAGCAUAGUUCAUAGUUCUUUGCUGCUACGGUUGGUUGUUCUUUUUUAUUUAUGGUUGAACAACCUGCAUCUUAACACUACCCUUUAAGGACUUGUAAACUAUAAAAAAUUGUUAAUGUGAUGAAUCAAGCGGUCUUAGCGAAAUGGUUGUAAGCUUGUAGCAGAUUGCAUAUCGGUGUGAUGUGCUUGGUGGUAUUGGAUAGUUUCAUGGAGGAGUAAUGUUUGUAGUUUUUCUACACUUCAGUCAUAGGUAAAUGUUUGUUCCAUGGUUUCAUAUUUGGGCUCUUUGAAUUCUCAUUCAUACAUGUUUUGAUUCUUUAUGUUUCAUUCUAAUUUAUUAAUAAGGUAUUUAAAAAAAUCCAAUUUUGUUGCAACACUUCAUCCCUCAGUUUCGUUCUUCAUUGUCUCGGUCUUGGUUUCAAACAGCUCUUGUCAUUUCCUUUACUCCACUCAACAUCCAGCAGCGACCACCACUAUGGAUGCAUUUAUCUUUGGCCAAAAUUUCCCAUCUUUCUAAUUAAGCUCGUGCUUGCUUGUUAUAUUUCAUGCCAAUCCAUGCGUAUGUUCUAUUGGGUGUUCACUCACACACCAACAAUGCUUUGCGUGUGCUUUUCAGCUUUCACUAAGAGAUGAAUGGUACUAUGCAAGGGAUAGCAGCAGUAGGCCGGGUUGGUCUGGGAUUAAUAGUGUCGGCUGAGAUGUUAUUUGGUGAACUUCAUAUAAGCUUAUUUCCUUUUUGUACUAUUCAACAGUAUGAUAAUCCAACAGAAAAUCACUUGUUUAUAUUCUUCUCCUACAAUUCUAGGAACUGCUUUGUGUGCCUAAUAUUAUCAGAUUUCCCUAUGAUCAUUCAUACAUACCAAAAUUUAAAUGGCAGGACUUAUUAGAGAGAAUUUCUUAUGCAUAUCAAAUUGGUUUUGUGUCAUAUGGGCACUUCAGGUUUGAGUGGAACGUACCUCAUCACAUAUAGUACUAAUAUUUCUUUAUAGAGGUUAAUUUUCUUUUCUUUUUGGUUGUCUCUAUGCGGAAGAUUGAACAACUCUAGGUAGAUGACCACGCUCAAGGUUUGGUGACUUGAUCUAGGUAAUAAACAUUUCAAAGCAUGCUAUCUUCCAUUUGAUUUUAUUUGAAAGUGGUGCUUCUGCAAGCCGUACUACAUGAAAGGAAUUUUAGUUUGUAACCCUGAUAUUGUGAUUGUUCACCAUUUAAUACUCAUUUACUUCGAUUGUUACUGGUUGGCCUACACCCCUUGCAGGGAAGAAACUAAGGGGAAAGCUUGAAGCUAAUAUAUCUACGGAAAUUUGUAUGCACCAAUGUACGGUCAGGGUCCUAAAAAAAAUCACAUGUUGGAUACUUUUUCCAGUAUGACUUCCAUGUGCUUUUUAUCCGUUUAUGUUAUGAAAGGAUUUUUUUAUGAUGGCACGAUGGUUUCGAAUCGUGCUUCAUUUCUAAUGUUACGGUACAUAAUGAGGCGGAGGGCUGAAGUGGGGCCAUGGAUGGGGGAGGCAGAGCUCAACAUGAAGGAGCAGGCGGGGAAGCUACAGAUGAGGAAGUGGUAUGGAGACAGAAGAAUGGCAUCGACAGAGCCGCACGCCGCUUCUGCCGCCAAACCCUAGGGUGACGCCUAUGACCGAGUGCCUUUCCAUGGUAAGUUGCUGGCCGAGCACGAUGUGUUGCUGUUGCUGUUGAUCAAGAGCAAGAGGAGGAGCUAGAGAAGAUAAAUGUUCCCUAUUUCUGUUACAGGUACUUUUGAUUUAUUACCAUGCAAAGGAGAUGUCCUGUGGAUAGAUAUUGCAAUCUGAUGAAAUUACAUUGUAGGAGGAAGAUAAGACAUUCAGGCGAGUUAUUCAAAAUUAUUUUGUUUAGUUGUGGGCCUGCCCACGACCCAUUGGAGAUAGACAUCAAUAGAUUAUAAGCUUAUCGAAUAUGAAA